GCAACAGGCAGCUCUGAAAGGGCCCAAAGGAGCAUCCAGGGGAAAUCAGAGGGGAAGUUGUGGAGUGAAAAUCAGUGAGAUGGGGAGAAGCUGGCUCCAAGUUAUGUGGAAGUGUCCAGCUGUGAGUGUUUUUAGUGCUUGCAAUCCCCUAUCACUGUUUGUAUACAAUUAUUUAUUAAGAUCAAGCUCAGCUGUGAAGUUCCUAUGACUUCUAGGAUUGUUCUUCUGGUUAGAAAUUCUCCAGCUCUUAAGCAAGGUCUCUGCUCUGCUCUGCCUUGAGAAGCUUCUACUUGGGUCUCCACCUAGAGCAGAACUGCACUUUGUCAGCAGUGAAUUUGUUAUUAUGGGCCAGACAUUUCCAACAAUGGAAAGUUUCACAAGAGGUACACCCACAAGAGAGCAAGUAGGAAGGAGAAUAUUCUAAAUACAACUUUUGCCAGCAAAAAAGAGAACAAAGAAGUUCAGUGUUGUGGAGAAUUUAAAAUUGGCUCACACUGCAGAGGAGAUUUCAUUACCAACACAUCAGCCCUCAAGAGCUUCUGAAGGUUCUUCAGAUCAUUCUGUCUGCAUAUCUUUACACAUACAUAUCUGCCCCUAACCUGACCCCAAACUAUCUCCAGGAUUGAUGGGGCUCUGAGCAACCUGGUCUGGUGGAAGGUCCCUGCCCAUGGCAUGGGGGUUACAACCAGACCUUUCAGGUCCCUUCUAAUGACCAGCCUACAAUUCUGUCAAACCUUUGGGUCAGAAUCUGCCAGAUCCAAGUUUUAGCUGAAGAAAAGGCACAACCAUGGUUUUAAUAUUUAUUAGAGCAGUAGGGAGUGUGCUGAGAAAAGAGACAGCAACAGACUGGAGCAGAGUUCAAGCCUUUUAAAAUACAACCAAAUCCAACUGCUCAGCACACUGCUGUAGAAAGCCAAGCUCCACUUUACAGUGUUUGACUUUAUUUAAAAAUGCAAAUGGCUGCAGCCCCCCAUCCAUCUGAUCUGCCAGAGAAGAGGAGUUUGAGGAGGUACAGCAGAGCACACAACAGUGCUUUCAGUACAUCUUGUUAUGCUGCAGCAGAAAACUCCAAAAUGAAGCCUGAAGACUUCAUGUAUCAAUGAGCACUGAUUUUGCCUUUCACUGAAGGUACAGAAGAAGAUAUAAACACUUCUAUAAGCCCUGUAGAGCGUUCCUGCACAGUUGUUUGCAGACACUGUCUCCCCAGAUGAUUAACAAACAGCAGUAAUGGGUCUGUGUUUGAGCACAACGCUGCUGGAGUUAAUAUCCAAAUCCUUCCCUGUUUGGGAAAGGCAUUUUCUAGGUGUUUGAAAAUGGGCUGGUUAAUCAUCAAAACUGGAGUCAUUCAGGCAAGAGUACUUCAGCGAUGAGAGAGUAGGGAAAAAAAAGGCUGCUCUGUUUGCUAAAGGUGACAGAUUUGACAACCUUUAUUUUCUUCUGGAAGACGGAUGCUUCAUCUGUGUUGACAUCAGGGAGUAUGGUCAUGUAAGAUUGUGUAGACUAUUUUAUUGAUACUCAGUACAGGCAAAAAUUGUGGAAUUUUUUAUUGUAGUUUUUAUGCAGUCACAUGUUGCAAGACAUUGUCUAUGGAUGAAAAGAAACACUGCAUAAGCAACUCUUAACAAUUAACCAGAAUUCUUGCACCAACAGUGCAACAGGGCACAAAAUUUUCUCCUUUCAUUAUACCCAGUUUGGAUUUUCCACACUUGAUUUGGCUUUUUGCCAGCAAGAGCACUGGGCCAACACCAUUCUCUUUCAACCUUUCCAACUAAAAUUGCAAGACACAAAUUUCUGUCAAAGAGCGUUUGCUGGCCUGGGGAGGUGACGUGUGUUGGUGUUUGUGAAACGCUGUGAAGAUGCAGAAUGCUCCAGGAGAGCUGUUUGUUCUGAAGGAGGACCAGAGCAGUGGGGAUGCACACCCAGGGGCUCGGGGAGGAGGAGAGGUCAGCGAGCUUGCACAGGAGGCAGUGCUGAGGGCUGGAGAACCGAAGGAAGAGCUGAGGCGUUUGGGAGAGCAGAGCUGCUGUCAGCCCCCACUGAGAUCUGAAUGCAUUUGUUACUGUGACGAGGCUAACACUUUCUCUUUUGUGCUAACUUUGGUUCCUUGCAGUGCACAUCCUCCCCCUCUCCUCCUCGAGCGUCUGCUGAGGUCACAUCUUCUCCUCUGCUCCCCCGCCUCCACGUUUUGGGGAUGAACACUCAUUGUUGCCUACCCCAUAAGCUCCCAGCACGUGCCCAGCCUCUCCCCCAGGACUGGGAUGUCACUAUAAGACAUGAAAAAACAUGACAUGAACACGCUGCUGUUCUCAAGGUAAAAAGGGCAGUUUAUUUUCUGACUCCAACAUUUAUAGAUUUCCAGAAGUGACAGUGGAUUGGAAGGUGAAAGUGCCACCUCUCCAAUGACACUGGACAAACCAACAGUCCAUCAAAUUUUUCUUCAUAAAAGAAUGCAAAACAAUAAAUUAUUUACAGAAAGUGUGUGAGAAAGUUCAUUACAAGAAUGCAAACAUCAGAAGGCUUAGAAAAUCUUUAAAAAUCAGGGUGACACUGGGACACAUGGCAUUGCUGUGACAGAGUGGCACUUCCACUGGGACAAGGACGCUGUCAAUCCCAGCACAAAAAGAGGGCUAAAGAAGCAUCCACACUGCAUGCUGAGAGGCUUGAGCUGUGCCCAGGCACCAAGGCCAGCUCAGGACACCAUAGUCCUUGCCUGGGGCUGGGGAGGGAGAGACUGGCUGUUUGCUCAGGGUCUGCAGCACAUCCACAUGGCUCUGCUGCCACUGGACCCUCCUCAGCCUCUCCCUAGGGUGAGGAAGACAUUGGAUCAAGAACUGCAUACAGUUGCUGGGGUACAUCCUACUUUUCUUCCAAAUUCAGGAGGAAGGGACAAAAAUUAAGUGUGAGCCAGAAGACACUGCACAGUAUUUUUUCUCUGCUACAAGUUCUGAUCUGCUGGACAUUGGGCCACCAGCCUUUCCCUGCUGCUUCAUUUCAGAUGCUUUUAUGUAAGCCAUUUAAAUCCCUUCCAGUACCUGCUGUGGCACCCAUGCAGCAGGUUUUCUCUGUUGGUGUAGGCACCCCAGCCUCAAUACAGUGACAAGGGUGGGAUUUCUGUCCUGCACAUCAUUGCCUGGCUUGUACUUGUCAUGGUCUAUAUGUACCACCUACAGACAGGGAUGGGGAGCUGGCAGGCUGCUGAAUCCUGCCCUGAGAGCAAAGAGAGCAGGAAGAAUCUCUCCAACAGAAAAUUCUCACUAGACUAAAUCUAAAUUAAAUCCUUCUCUGUCCUUCCUAAGACCUAAGCAGCCCUUGCUGAAGCUUUUAUUUUUCAGCUUAACUCUUCAGGUAUCUUACAUAUUCUCUACCCAGGGAAUAUCUGCUAAUAAGGUCUGAGCAUACUCUUAAAAUUUAUUUCAAAGCUAACUAACAAUAACCCAUCCCUUCAGGACUCCACCUUAAUUACUAUAACUUUACUUCUACUCCUAGCUUAUAUACUGCUGGCCUGUGUUCCAGACUGAUGCAUU
Long non-coding RNA from Passer domesticus (house sparrow), 3524 nucleotides. RefSeq lists it as uncharacterized. Lineage: Eukaryota; Metazoa; Chordata; Aves; Passeriformes; Passeridae. The transcript is spliced from 4 exons. The record is from RefSeq and is a predicted model, not a curated record.